CAGUCGCCACGGGAAUACGUAGGGUGCAAGCGUUAAUCGGAAUUACUGGGCGUAAAGCGUGCGCAGGCGGUUAUAUAAGACAGAUGUGAAAUCCCCGGGCUCAACCUGGGAACUGCAUUUGUGACUGUAUAGCUAGAGUACGGCAGAGGGGGAUGGAAUUCCGCGUGUAGCAGUGAAAUGCGUAGAUAUGCGGAGGAACACCGAUGGCGAAGGCAAUCCCCUGGGCCUGUACUGACGCUCAUGCACGAAAGCGUGGGGAGCAAACAGGAUUAGAUACCCCCGUAGUCCCUGUCUCUUAUAC
RNAcentral lists this ribosomal RNA (301 nucleotides) under uncultured bacterium. RNAcentral describes it as "partial 16S ribosomal RNA". It matches the Rfam family "Bacterial small subunit ribosomal RNA", at positions 509 to 807 of the family's 1533-position model. The record is from RNAcentral.